GAUUUCUGGUUGGAUGCGCCUGGCCCGCCACGGUUUCGUGUGUGAGUGCCGGUAGUGUGUCUGCCAUCCUUCUAGUACGUACUCGAUUCUUCACUGAGUCGAUGCUACGCUGCUAGAUCGUUUACUUUGAAAAAAUUAGAGUGUUUAAAGCAGGCAUGCCGCUAUGAAUACAUUAGCAUGGAAUAAUAAUUUAGGACUUCGGUUCUAUUUUGUUGGUUUCUAUAACUGAAGUAAUGAUUGAUAGGGAUAGUUGGGGGUGCUAGUAUUGGCCGGCCAGAGGUGAAAUUCUUGGAUUCGGUCAAGACUAACUUAUGCGAAAGCAUU
RNAcentral lists this ribosomal RNA (324 nucleotides) under Protaspa sp. RNAcentral describes it as "SSU rRNA". The stretch from base 105 to 324 matches the Rfam family "Eukaryotic small subunit ribosomal RNA", at positions 735 to 955 of the family's 1831-position model. Lineage: Eukaryota; Cercozoa; Thecofilosea; Cryomonadida; Protaspidae. The record is from RNAcentral.